RNAcentral lists this ribosomal RNA (408 nucleotides) under uncultured bacterium. Its description in RNAcentral is "partial 16S ribosomal RNA". It matches the Rfam family "Bacterial small subunit ribosomal RNA", at positions 28 to 526 of the family's 1533-position model. The record is from RNAcentral.
GACGAACGCUGGCGGCGUGCUUAACACAUGCAAGUCGAGCGAAGGGGGGAACAGGUGAGUAAUGCUUACGUACCUUGCACUCCUUUUUGGGAUAAGCCUUGGAAACGGGGUCUAAUACCGAAUUAAGUGGGGUGGGAUCGCGGCCUAUCAGCUUGGUGGUGGGGUGAUGGCCUAACAAGGCGAUGGCGGGUAGCCGGCCUGAGAGGCUGCACGGCAACAUUGGGACGGAGAUACGGCCUAGACGCCUACGCGAGGCAGCAGUUGGGGAUAUGGCACAAUGGGCGACAGCGUGAUGCAGCGUCGCCGCGGGGGGGAUGAAGGCUUUCGGGUUGUUAUCCUCGGUAGCUAUCGAAGGGGUAGGUGAUGAAGAAGCGCCGGCUAACUACGUGCCAGCAGCCGCGGUAAUUC